UACAGAGGUCUCAAGCGUUGUUCGGAUUCAUUGGGCGUAAAGGGUGUGUAGGUGGCGCGCUAAGUCGGGUGUGAAAUUUCGGAGCUUAACUCCGAAACUGCAUUCGAUACUGGCGUGCUUGAGGACUGGAGAGGAGACUGGAAUUCAUGGUGUAGCAGUGAAAUGCGUAGAGAUCAUGAGGAAGACCUGUGGCGAAGGCGGGUCUCUGGACAGUUCCUGACACUGAGACACGAAGGCCAGGGGAGCAAACGGG
RNAcentral lists this ribosomal RNA (253 nucleotides) under uncultured bacterium. Its description in RNAcentral is "partial 16S ribosomal RNA". It matches the Rfam family "Bacterial small subunit ribosomal RNA", at positions 524 to 776 of the family's 1533-position model. The record is from RNAcentral.